AUUCACCCAGGCAGGAAUCAGCCAGGCUUUAAAGCUGCAAGGCCAUUACAUGCUAAUCAUUCCGGCUAAUUGCAGCAUUCAUACUUGCCUCCAACAGACAAAAAAAAAAAACAGAAAUACUUUAUAUUAACAAGCUUCAGGAAACAAUAUCCCCUAAUGGCACAGCAUGUUAAAGCACUCAGCUGCGGUCAAAGGUUCACAUUGGGGAAGCGCAGUGAGCCCCCAUUGUUAGCCCAAGCUUCUACCAACACAGAAGUUAUAAAACAUGCAAAUAUGAGUAGAUCAAUAGGUACUGCUCCAGCGGGAGGAUAACGGCACUCCAUGCAGUCAUGCCAGCCACAUGACCUUGGAGGUGUCUACAGACAACACCGGCUCUUCGGCUUAGAAAUGGAAAUAAGCACCAAUGCCCAGAGUCAGACAUGACUAGACUUAAUACCUUUAUCUUAACUACCACCAAUUCCUCAAUACUUUAUUUCCCAUACCACCAUACGUUGCCACAGCAACACGUGGCCGGGCACAGCUAUUGUAUUUAUAUUUUGUUUUCAUAAUGAGAAGGAUAUGGUCUUAACAUACGCACAAGCUCUUACAUAUCCAUCGGUUCCUUUAUGGGAUUGAAUAUUUCAACUGGUGGAACAGGUCUACAUUCAGUGCAAGGCUGUGGAAGAGGAAUGACAUCUGCAGCAACAUUGCACAUGGAUCUAUAACAUAAAUAGAUUUACACAUAUGUUUGGUUCAAUACUCAGCUUAGUUGCCCAGCGUUGUCAUUCAGCACAAGGUCUAUGUAACACCAGCAACACAUAACUCCACAUGCAGGUGUUUAUACUACACAGAGCUAAUGAAGGAGCUCAGUCAUAGAAAUAUUUGAUUUUAGUGUUAGCCAUAAUUUGGGGGUGAGUGGGUAGUCAAAAGGCACGGUAUAAAUCUACCGAAUAAAUCUAUAAAUGUGGUUCUCUCUAUUUCUUCCCCCGCCAAAUCGAUGCUGUUUUCUCCUCUUAAUUUAAGCUCAAAAUUAAUGCCGUAUUUUCUUGUAGUCCCAGCUGACAGGCUCAGAGCUCUGGCUUUUAUGUUAUUUAUAAGAAUGUCCAUAAAUUUUGUGUUUCAACUCACAUCUAACUAGAUCCAACCCCCUGAUAGGAUGUUAACCAUCUCAAGCUGACUGGACUAUUAUCUGGGAAAACUAGUGGAUACUGGGAUACAAUAGUGGCCAACGUGAGUGGCGCUAUGACCUAAAGGUGGCAUUUCUGCAGAUCCAACAAUAGCAGAUGAAUGUGCCUUCAGGAUGAAGAUGAAGACUUGGUCUGGCAUCCUGUUGGUGACACAUGAACACACUUCAGCCUGUGUGCAGUCUGGUGUAUUGAGCAAGGUGAAGCUAACCUGAGGUGCGACACCCAUAAAGACAUGCUGACAAUUUGAUCGGGAGGGAGUCUAAGGACAACAAAGCUCCUCAGCAUGGAAGAUGGAGUAACAGCACCCCCUCGAGGCCAGAGUCAAGCACAGCCUCCGGAUGCCAGAAAUGGAAAAAGAUGGGGAAAGCCUUUACCUCUGUUUAUGUACUGUCUGUCCCUGCUAAUUGUAUAACAGCAUUGAAUGUUUGCAGUAUAUGUAUUCUGUAAUCUGCCCUGAGUCCCCUUGGGAAGAUAGAGCAGAAUAUAAAUAAAAUAUAUUAUUAUUUAUUA
Long non-coding RNA from Anolis carolinensis (green anole), 1676 nucleotides. RefSeq lists it as uncharacterized. The transcript is spliced from 2 exons. NCBI's taxonomy places the organism in Eukaryota, Metazoa, Chordata, Lepidosauria, Squamata, Anolidae. The record is from RefSeq and is a predicted model, not a curated record.